This 504-nucleotide ribosomal RNA is filed under the name uncultured bacterium. RNAcentral's name for it is "bacterial SSU rRNA". It matches the Rfam family "Bacterial small subunit ribosomal RNA", at positions 17 to 518 of the family's 1533-position model. The record is from RNAcentral.
UUAUGGCUCAGGACGAACGCUGGCGGCGUGCCUAACACAUGCAAGUCGAACGGAGUUGCGUCACGAAGUUCUCGGAGCGGACGACGCAGCUUAGUGGCGGACGGGUGAGUAACGCGUGAGCAACCUGCCUUUCAGAGGGGGACAACGGUUGGAAACGACCGCUAAUACCGCAUGAAAUGACUGGACCGCAUGAUCCGGUCAUCAAAGAUUCUAUCGCUGAAAGAUGGGCUCGCGUCUGAUUAGAUAGUUGGUGGGGUAACGGCCCACCAAGUCGACGAUCAGUAGCCGGACUGAGAGGUUGAACGGCCACAUUGGGACUGAGAUACGGCCCAGACUCCUACGGGAGGCAGCAGUGGGGAAUAUUGGGCAAUGGGGGGCCAACCCUGACCCAGCAACGCCGCGUGAAGGAAGAAGGCUUUCGGGUUGUAAACUUCUUUUACCGAGGACGAAGAACGUGACGGUACUCGGAGAAAAAGCCACGGCUAACUACGUGCCAGCAGCUGC